ACGGAAGUUUAAUCAAUUAAACUUUCGUGGCGAACGGGUGAGUAACGCGUAAGCAAUCUGCCCCUAAGACGAGGAUAACAGUUGGAAACGACUGCUAAGACUGGAUAGUAGACAAGAAGGCAUCUUCUUGUUUUUAAAAGACCUAUUAAUAGGUAUGCUUAGGGAGGAGCUUGCGUCACAUUAGUUAGUUGGUGGGGUAAAGGCCUACCAAGACUAUGAUGUGUAGCCGGGCUGAGAGGUUGAACGGCCACAUUGGGACUGAGACACGGCCCAAACUCCUACGGGAGGCAGCAGUAGGGAAUUUUCGGCAAUGGAGGAAACUCUGACCGAGCAACGCCGCGUGAACGAUGAAGUAUUUCGGUACGUAAAGUUCUUUUAUUAGGGAAGAAUAAAUGAUGGAAAAAUCAUUCUGACGGUACCUAAUGAAUAAGCCCCGGCUAACUAUGUGCCAGCAGCCGCGGUAAUACAUAGGGGGCAAGCGUUAUCCGGAAUUAUUGGGCGUAAAGGGUGCGUAGGCUGUUAAAUAAGUUUAUGGUCUAAGUGCAAUGCUCAACAUUGUGAUGCUAUAAAAAACUGUUUAGCU
This 583-nucleotide ribosomal RNA is filed under the name Saskatchewan Brassica rapa phytoplasma. RNAcentral describes it as "bacterial SSU rRNA". It matches the Rfam family "Bacterial small subunit ribosomal RNA", at positions 66 to 642 of the family's 1533-position model. Lineage: Bacteria; Bacillati; Mycoplasmatota; Mollicutes; Acholeplasmatales; Acholeplasmataceae. The record is from RNAcentral.